AACGAACGCUGGCGGCAUGCCUAACACAUGCAAGUCGAACGAAGGCUUCGGCCUUAGUGGCGCACGGGUGCGUAACGCGUGGGAAUCUGCCCUUUGGUUCGGAAUAACAGCUGGAAACGGCUGCUAAUACCGGAUGAUGACGAAAGUCCAAAGAUUUAUCGCCAGAGGAUGAGCCCGCGUUGGAUUAGGUAGUUGGUGGGGUAAAGGCCUACCAAGCCGACGAUCCAUAGCUGGUCUGAGAGGAUGAUCAGCCACACUGGGACUGAGACACGGCCCAGACCCCGAGGGGAGGCGGAGGGGGGGAAUAGUGAACAAGGGGCGAAAGCUUGACCAAGCAGUGCCGGGGGAGGGAGAAGGCCCUUGGGGUUGAAAGCCUCUUUCCCCCGGAAAGAAAAGGACGGUCCGGGGAAAAAAAGCCCGGGCAAACCCCGUG
Molecule: ribosomal RNA, 433 nt
Filed under: uncultured bacterium
Lineage: Bacteria
Description: partial 16S ribosomal RNA
Rfam family: Bacterial small subunit ribosomal RNA
Source: RNAcentral